Molecule: long non-coding RNA, 1016 nt
Organism: Hydractinia symbiolongicarpus
Lineage: Eukaryota; Metazoa; Cnidaria; Hydrozoa; Anthoathecata; Hydractiniidae
Exons: 3
Source: RefSeq, a predicted model, not a curated record
UCCAGAAAAAGAAACACACCACUGAGAUUAGUGUUGGUUCAGGACUAGCUAGCUACCUUGUCACGUCAUUUUUCAACAAGACUUUAUACACCUUUUCACAUCAGUUGGCUUUCUACAUAUACUAAAUAUGUAAGAUGAUUAGCCAUACAAGACUCUGUUGUCAGACAAGGCGCAUACAACAAACAGAGAAUAAGUGUGCGGGGAAUAAAAAGUUGGAUAAACAUGGUAGUCUGAAAUUAAAAAAAGAGUCAGUAACAUGUUGUGCAUCUUCAUUGGAUAAGAACUAUAGGUAUAGUAUGAAUUGUAGUAUUUUAGUGUUUAUGAUUGUUUAUUACCAUUUUUAACUGCUUUAUAUUCUUUAUUUCUUAUCAACAUUUAAAAUUUAUUUAUAAAUGUUAUCCUGCGUGACUGACAGUUGAGUGUAAUAGUCAAUCAUUUGAAGGGCAAAGAGAUGUACAGUACCGCUUAAAUGUAACUUUACAUGUGCACGAUAUUUAUCACCUUCAUACGAACCUUUCGUAGCGUCAGAACUUUCGUUGUUAUUGUUAUAUAACCUAUUCUUAAAUACAUGAGCUAUUUUUGCACGUUAUAAACAAUAGAGUUCAUGUCUCACAUGCGAACUUUAAUUAGCUUGUCUAAACUUCGCAUAACUCAUUGUUGUAUUUAAUUGCUAUAGCCAUCAAAGAAUCAACAGAAGAAAAAAUAUAAAAUUUAACAAAGCUUUAAAUUUUGUUUUUUAUGAACUCAUGAACGGCAACCUAUUAUCUUUUGUUUUUACAUGCGAUUUAUUAAGGUACUUUGAUAGAAUCUCGUGUUUUGCAUGCAAUUUUAUUGUUUUUACACGAACCUAAAUAUUGUUUUUUAUUUAGCACAUGAAACAAUUGGAAUGACUUUAUAUAAAUGGUCGAUGUAUUUAUUACAUUUAGCUACCAUUGCACUUUUCAAAAAUUCUUUAAUAGCAUUGACUAACUCUUUUUUCAUUGAUGUUUUAUUGCCUUAACAAAUAUAUCGCUUUA